GGCCGGUGAUUUAAGGAUUAAUAUUUGCUACUCUUGAUGGGAAUUUCCCAUUUGAUGAAUUUUAUCCACCAAGAUCUCUGAGGCC
This is a small nucleolar RNA of Quercus robur (English oak), 85 nucleotides long. RefSeq annotates it as small nucleolar RNA SNORD24. Lineage: Eukaryota; Viridiplantae; Streptophyta; Magnoliopsida; Fagales; Fagaceae. The transcript has a single exon. The record is from RefSeq and is a predicted model, not a curated record.